This 466-nucleotide ribosomal RNA is filed under the name uncultured bacterium. RNAcentral's name for it is "partial 16S ribosomal RNA". It matches the Rfam family "Bacterial small subunit ribosomal RNA", at positions 28 to 507 of the family's 1533-position model. The record is from RNAcentral.
GACGAACGCUGGCGGCGCGCCUAACACAUGCAAGUCGAACGAGCGAGCGAGAGCUUGCUUUCUUGAGCGAGUGGCGAACGGGUGAGUAACGCGUGAGGAACCUGCCUCAAAGAGGGGGACAACAGUUGGAAACGACUGCUAAUACCGCAUAAGCCCACGGUGCCGCAUGGCACAGAGGGAAAAGGAGCAAUCCGCUUUGAGAUGGCCUCGCGUCCGAUUAGCUAGUUGGUGAGGUAACGGCCCACCAAGGCGACGAUCGGUAGCCGGACUGAGAGGUUGAACGGCCACAUUGGGACUGAGACACGGCCCAGACUCCUACGGGAGGCAGCAGUGGGGAAUAUUGCACAAUGGGGGAAACCCUGAUGCAGCGACGCCGCGUGGAGGAAGAAGGUCUUCGGAUUGUAAACUCCUGUUGUUGGGGAAGAUAAUGACGGUACCCAACAAGGAAGUGACGGCUAACUACGUG